CCUACGGGAGGCAGCAGUGAGGAAUAUUGGUCAAUGGGCGCGAGCCUGAACCAGCCAAGUCGCGUGAGGGAGGACGGCCCUGAGGAUUGUAAACUUCUUUUAUAAAGGAAUAAAGUCAGGCACGUGUCCCUUUUUGUAUGUACUUUAUGAAUAAGGAUCGGCUAACUCCGUGCCAGCAGCCGCGGUAAUACGGAGGAUCCGAGCGUUAUCCGGAUUUAUUGGGUUUAAAGGGAGCGUAGAUGGGUUGUUAAGUCAGUUGUGAAAGUUUGCGGCUCAACCGUGAAAUUGCAAUUGAUACUGGCAGUCUUGAGUACAGGAGAGGUAGGCGGAAUGCGUGGUGUAGCGGUGAAAUGCUUAGAGAUCACGAAGAACCCCGAUUGCGAAGGCAGCUUACUA
RNAcentral lists this ribosomal RNA (396 nucleotides) under uncultured bacterium. RNAcentral's name for it is "partial 16S ribosomal RNA". It matches the Rfam family "Bacterial small subunit ribosomal RNA", at positions 338 to 731 of the family's 1533-position model. The record is from RNAcentral.